Molecule: ribosomal RNA, 758 nt
Filed under: uncultured Clostridia bacterium
Lineage: Bacteria; Bacillati; Bacillota; Clostridia
Description: bacterial SSU rRNA
Rfam family: Bacterial small subunit ribosomal RNA
Source: RNAcentral
CCUUGCACUUCGGGAUAAGCUUGGGACAACUGGGUCUAAUACCGGCAUAGGACAGCUGUUUAGUGUCAGUUGUGGCAACAGUUUUUUCGGUGCCAAGCAUGCAGCUCGCGGCCUCAUCAGCUUGUUGGUGGGGUCAAUGGCCUACCAAGGCGUCGACGGGUACCGGCCUGCAGCAGGGUGUACGGCCCACAUUGGGACUGCAGCAUACGGCCCAGACUCCUACGGGAGGCAGCCAGUGGGGAAUAUUGCACAAUGGGCGGAAGCCUGAUGCAGCGACGCCGCUGGGGGAUGAAGGCCUUCGGGUUGUAAUACUCCUUUCGACAGGGACGAAGCGUAAGUGACGGUACCUGUAUAAGAAGCACCGGCUAAAUACGUGCCAGCAGCCGCGGUAAUACGUAUGGACCGAGCGUUGUCCGGAAUCAUUGGGCGUAAAGGGUACGUAGGCGGCCUAGUAAGUUAGAAGUGAAAUAAUAUAGCUCAACUAUAUAAAGCUUUUAAAACUGUUAGGCUUGAGAGAUGAAAGGGAAAGUGGAAUUCCUAGUGUAGCGGUGAAAUGCGCAGAUAUUAGGAAGAAUACCGGUGGCGAAGGCGACUUUCUGGUCAUCAUCUGACGCUGAGGUACGAAAGCGUGGGUAGCAAACAGGAUUAGAUACCCUGGUAGUCCACGCUGUAAACGAUGAGUGUUAGGUUCUUGGAAUAAUCUGGGAGCCGCAGCUAACGCAUUAAACACUCCGCCUGGGGAGUACGCACGCCAGUGU